AUGUGGAUCUAUUAUGUUAGAAUGAUCUCAAAGAAUAAUGGAAGACUGAGAAAGAGAAUGCAAAGGAGAAGAGGGAAGGAGGCAGAAGAAAGGACAAAAAUAUUUCAAAUACUAGAGAAUCUUAGCAGUCGACAUCAAGCACCACGAAAAAUUCUGACCUUCAGAGCUGGUUGGACCUGUCUCUUUGGGCUGAAGAAAAUGGCAGCACCUCUAACCUUAGACUGGGAAGAACAAGCUCCUCCCACAUCCACAGCCUGA
RNAcentral lists this long non-coding RNA (258 nucleotides) under Monodelphis domestica (gray short-tailed opossum). Its description in RNAcentral is "lncRNA (ENSMODG00000039690.1)". The record is from RNAcentral. Lineage: Eukaryota; Metazoa; Chordata; Mammalia; Didelphimorphia; Didelphidae.